Ornithodoros turicata is the source of this 955-nucleotide long non-coding RNA. RefSeq lists it as uncharacterized. Lineage: Eukaryota; Metazoa; Arthropoda; Arachnida; Ixodida; Argasidae. The record is from RefSeq and is a predicted model, not a curated record. The transcript has 5 exons.
UUCUUGUGUUGAAUUCAUGUCUAAGUUAUCGUUGAGUUUAAUCGGGAAGAUAUUGCAUCUCGUGUGUCAAGUUUGUUUUUCUGUUCGCUAUUCGUCUGACGACGCAAAAGCUGUUGUGCCAGUGCCGUGCCUCUUAUAUACUGUACUACACCGUGCCGUAACUACAAGUCGUACAACUUGCCGGACCAGCUUCGACCUUGCCGGGCGCCGAAGAAAACGAGGAAUAAAGCGAUAGGGGGCACAAGCAGAGAGUGCGGACCCUGGCUACGAACGGACAAGAAUGGUCUGGUUUCUUUACAUUGGCGCAGCGGACAGGAAUUCGAAAAAAUUGGUGCCUGAUGUCAAGCACACCAAAGAAAAGGCGAUACAGCAUUUGCACCACAUCACCUGACAUAUAUGUGAAAGCAUACUUGAGCAAAUAAGCCUCAGAACAUCAGUUUCUCUCUUGGUCGAAAACCGCAUUGAUUAUAGGCUGUUAUUCACUUCGAGGAGAGGAAUUACUGUCGCGACCUUCCAUGCUGACGGCAUUUGACCACUACCCCAGACGUCAUUGAAAAACUUCUUUGGAUUUUUCUGAGAAAUGGACAAGCAUGGAGUAGGUGAUUCGGUCUGGGCCCGGAGCACUAACAUUUACUGAUGAUAGUGCCUGCAGGAGCUCACGGGCAGUGAAAGGUUGGUUAUAUGCACAGUUCCCAUCUCCCGUUGUUGUGACAAUUCGCUGUUCUUCACGUCGCUUGACACUUAAGAAUUUGUCUGUGUAAUGGGAGGAAUUUGAUAUAUUGUGAAAGUGCUGACCCAAUACAUCAGCUUGUUCAUUUAGGCUCCUGCAUGGAAUUCCAUUUACCUCUAGCAGAGGGACAGAAAAACUUCUGUACUCUCCUUUGAUCUUUCUGAUUCUGUCCCACACUAUCUUUGAUGGGGUCUUGUGCGUUAAAGACGAGACAAAAUUGCGCCA